GACGAACGCUGGCGGCGUGCCUAAUACAUGCAAGUCGAGCGAAGCGGCGGAUGGGUGAGUAACGCGUGGGUAACCUGCCCUUAAGUCUGGAAUACCAUUUGGAAACAGAUGCUAAUACCGGAUACAUAAGGAUGGACCUUCUGUGCAUUAGCUGGUUGGUAAGGUAACGGCUUACCAGGGCGAUGAUGCAUGGCCGGCUGGAGAGACUAAUCGGCCACAUUGGGACGGGGAAACGGCCAAAACGCCUACGGGGGGCAGAAGUAGGGAAUCUUCCACAAGGGACGAAAGUCGGAGGAAGCAACGCCGCGGGAGGGAAGAAGGUUUUCGGAUCGAAAAGCUUGUUUGUUGGUGAAGCGGUAAUCAACCAGAAAGUCACGGCUAACUACGUGCCAGCAGCCGCGGUAAUUC
This 408-nucleotide ribosomal RNA is filed under the name uncultured bacterium. RNAcentral describes it as "partial 16S ribosomal RNA". It matches the Rfam family "Bacterial small subunit ribosomal RNA", at positions 28 to 526 of the family's 1533-position model. The record is from RNAcentral.